CGCGGCGGGGCGCAAGGAGCUCAAAGUUUCGCUCCCGCUGGAAAUGCGCACACGCGUCUGUUCCCGCCUCAGAGCCUCCUUUUUCUUAUUGCAACCUCUAUUCUUUUUUUUUAGUAGUAGUACUUGUCUGGAAUACGUGCCACCGUUUUCCCUCUUCCGAUGCGGGAUUUGGUCCAUCAUUCUGCCUAUUUUCUAGGCAGCAUGCUGGAAACAAAAAGUAAACUGUUCAGAGAGCCAGAUCCACAGCCUGUGAAGUAAAUGGAAGUCUUUCCAUUGAUGCCUAUGGAUUGUGGAUCAGACCCAAGGCACAAGGUGCAGCAGACACAUGGUGCCAGCAGUGUUUUGCUAGCUCCUUAACCCAGAAAUCCAGCACUGCACAGGUUCCACUCUGCUGGUGUGCAAAUAGACUGAAUUGGUAGCAGAAGUCAAUGACAAGGGGAAUCACCUGACUAAACCUUCCUGGAGUGCUGAGAUAGUCUCUGUUGUAGCAUCCAGGUUCCGGUUUGUGCUUUUGAAGGAGAGAUUUCAGCUGUUGGUAGACUCACAGGAAAAUUUUACACUGCAUGUACAUAAAUGCUUCUCUUCAGAAUUUAACCUGUAUAUUUUGAAGCUUAGGUUUUGGUAUUACAACUUCUUCUGUACAUUGACACUUCUCCAGACACCAAGCGAUCCCAUGAGAAAUCGGAUUCUGUUUCAGCAGUGCAAAUAUCCACGGGACUCACCCCUGGACAUAUGCUAAGACUUCCAAGGACAGAAUUGGUCCUUUCUCACAAAUGCUGCUGUAUGUGCAGAUUUGCCGCUGAUUACUGUGGGACUGCCACAAGAUAUCAGGCUUAGCAAUGCAGCAGGUGCAGUCGGAUGCAGAGAGCUGGCUGUUUUAACAAUCCAACUGGAGAGAAAAAAAAAAAACUAGCCAAUUUGCCAUAGGAAGUGUUAUUCCUCGAAAAAUGCAAAUUACAUGUAUUUGGCAUAUGGAAAGUGUGUAUCUGCCUGCCUGCAGUUUACAAAUAACACAGUGAGAAAUUUGAAGAAUGAUCUUUGAUUUCCUAAGAGGAGCUUAGCAGAAGUUUUAUUUGUGCAAUAGUAGGGUAAAGAACUCGGCAAAUCAGUUAAGAGAAGAAAAUUUCACUGCUAUUUAGAGAAAACAUGAUGUGCUAGUGGAAAGAAGACUUUUAGGAAUUGCGCUGGCACAUGUCUUUGGGUUUGCUUUUCAGGCUGCAAUAUGCAGAUUUAGAAGAGUACAUAUUUAAGGAACUGUGAGGUUCAUUUACAGUGGCUACUGUGUUAUAUUUGUAGCAGCUGCUUUCCUGUCAUGAAUGGUAAAUGUAUUUUCUGUUCUAAUGAUGUGCUUCAGAAUCAACAUUGCUUGGAGCAGUUACAUUUCAGAGUUUUUGCCUGAGGAAGAUUUUCUAUUGUGGAGAAUUGAGAAGUGAAUGAAAAAUUAAACAGAGGCUAGUUACCCUUCUGUAAGAAGUUUCUUUAAAAAAACAAAAAACAACAAAAACCCCAAACCCUUCCACCCUAUGCAUGGACAUAAAGGACAAGCACAUGUUCUUAGCAAUCUUCCACAUUGUUACAAAUUAGGCUAGUAAUUUUGUGAAAUUGAGAUUUGUGGGAAAAAAUGAUUCAUUCACCACAAUAUAAAUGUGUUUCCCUUUGCUUGUCUUGGAUGGCAAAAGAAGAUAAUCCUUUCUGACUCAGGAUCCUGCAAAGCCCAAAGUAUGCAUUUACAUAUACAU
Long non-coding RNA from Apteryx owenii (little spotted kiwi), 1739 nucleotides. The record is from Ensembl. Lineage: Eukaryota; Metazoa; Chordata; Aves; Apterygiformes; Apterygidae.